Molecule: ribosomal RNA, 1139 nt
Filed under: uncultured Escherichia sp.
Lineage: Bacteria; Pseudomonadati; Pseudomonadota; Gammaproteobacteria; Enterobacterales; Enterobacteriaceae
Description: bacterial SSU rRNA
Rfam family: Bacterial small subunit ribosomal RNA
Source: RNAcentral
GGGUAACGGCUCACCUAGGCGACGAUCCCUAGCUGGUCUGAGAGGAUGACCAGCCACACUGGAACUGAGACACGGUCCAGACUCCUACGGGAGGCAGCAGUGGGGAAUAUUGCACAAUGGGCGCAAGCCUGAUGCAGCCAUGCCGCGUGUAUGAAGAAGGCCUUCGGGUUGUAAAGUACUUUCAGCGGGGAGGAAGGGAGUAAAGUUAAUACCUUUGCUCAUUGACGUUACCCGCAGAAGAAGCACCGGCUAACUCCGUGCCAGCAGCCGCGGUAAUACGGAGGGUGCAAGCGUUAAUCGGAAUUACUGGGCGUAAAGCGCACGCAGGCGGUUUGUUAAGUCAGAUGUGAAAUCCCCGGGCUCAACCUGGGAACUGCAUCUGAUACUGGCAAGCUUGAGUCUCGUAGAGGGGGGUAGAAUUCCAGGUGUAGCGGUGAAAUGCGUAGAGGUCUGGANGGANANUACCGGUGGCGAAGGCGGCCCCCUGGACGAAGACUGACGCUCAGGUGCGAAAGCGUGGGGAGCAACCAGGANCCGAUACCCUGGUAGUCCACGCCGUAAACGAUGUCNACUUNGGAGGUUGUGCCCUUGAGGCGUGGCUUCCGGAGCUAACGCGUUAAGUCGACCGCCUGGGGAGUACGGCCGNCNAAGCCCAAAACUCAAAUGAAUUGACGGGGGCCCGCACAAGCGGUGGAGCAUGUGGUUUAAUUCGAUGCAACGCGAAGAACCUUACCUGGUCUUGACAUCCACGGAAGUUUUCAGAGAUGAGAAUGUGCCUUCGGGAACCGUGAGACAGGUGCUGCAUGGCUGUCGUCAGCUCGUGUUGUGAAAUGUUGGGUUAAGUCCCGCAACGAGCGCAACCCUUAUCCUUUGUUGCCAGCGGUCCGGCCGGGAACUCAAAGGAGACUGCCAGUGAUAGACUGGAGGAAGGUGGGGAUGACGUCAAGUCAUCAUGGCCCUUACGACCAGGGCUACACACGUGCUACAAUGGCGCAUACAAAGGGAAGCGACCUCGCGAGAGCAAGCGGACCUCAUAAAGUGCGUCGUAGUCCGGAUUGGAGUCUGCAACUCGACUCCAUGAAGUCGGAAUCGCUAGUAAUCGUGGAUCAAAAUGCCACGGUGAAUACGUUCCCGGGCCG